GUCUACAGCCAUGCCACCCUGAACAUGCCUGAUCUCGUCUGAUCUCGGAAGCUAAGCAGGGUUAGGCCUGGUUAGUAUUCGGAUGGGAGACCACCUAAGAUACCAGGUGCUGUAAGCG
This 118-nucleotide ribosomal RNA is filed under the name Pteropus alecto (black flying fox). The record is from RNAcentral. Lineage: Eukaryota; Metazoa; Chordata; Mammalia; Chiroptera; Pteropodidae.